AGAUGUGAGGGCGAUCUGGUUGCAACAUCUGUCACCCCAUUGAUCGCCAGGGUUGGUUCUGCUGAUCUGGCUGGCUGGGUGGGGGGGCAGGCCUUCUUCCCUCACCACUCCGUGUGCGUCCCUCCCGAAGCUGUACACUUGGUCAAAGAACACGAACUUCCCUGAUAGAGGAGGACCAUUCUUCAGUCAAGGGUAUACAAGUAGCUGCACUCCCCUGCUAGAACCUCCAAACAAGUUCUCAAGAUCUGUUUCUGCUUGGGCAAAAUACCAGGAAAAUGCAGAGCAGAAGUGUUGGAUUCUCCAUGGUGAAGCAUGGACGUCUUCUCAAGGAAGGUGACUGAGGU
Molecule: small nuclear RNA, 344 nt
Filed under: Prolemur simus (greater bamboo lemur)
Lineage: Eukaryota; Metazoa; Chordata; Mammalia; Primates; Lemuridae
Description: 7SK RNA (ENSPSMG00000000048.1)
Rfam family: 7SK RNA
About the family: 7SK was discovered as an abundant small nuclear RNA in the mid-70s but a possible function has only recently been suggested. Two independent studies have found that 7SK RNA binds the CDK9/cyclin T complex (known as elongation factor P-TEFb).
Source: RNAcentral